AACAAGGUUCCAUUAGGAACCACCUUAACGGAUUAGCAAAAUAAUU
Molecule: non-coding RNA, 46 nt
Organism: Clonorchis sinensis
Lineage: Eukaryota; Metazoa; Platyhelminthes; Trematoda; Opisthorchiida; Opisthorchiidae
Source: Rfam